AGCCGGCCCGCAGUAAGUGUUAAUCUCCAGCCAAAGAGGGGGGCUGCUUUGCGGGAAUUUGUCUCCAGGAAAGGAUCUGAGCCUUCUUCAAUCGGAGCAUAUGUUCAUAGAGCAAUAAACCGGAAAGAUUUACAGUCCUCGCCCGGCCCCCAACAGCCUCGCACCCUUUCAGGAAUUACUUACGAUGAUUUAUCACACCAACCCAGGCAAUUGUCACACUGAUAAAAUAGCCCGGGCCGGUGCCCGCCAAGCCCGGGCCUUGGGAGGCUGUUGGCUGCCGGGCUGGCGGCGGGGCUGAGGAGGUUUUUUGUGGGUUCCUCUCUGGGCCUACCAGGGGAUGUCGGGGUGGGUGGGUGGGGUUGGGGGGUGGGAGGGCAGCCAAUUCUCAUUGAGAAAAAAACACAAGCAGCUCAGAGAAAGCGCCCAGAAUCUGCGCCAGAGUCACUUGCAAAGCACAUAAACAUUUGUCAUCUUUGAAUAAUUGAAUUAAUGUGUUAUUGUUUGAAUGUAUAAUUCACAACGGAGGAAACUUUGUCUCUGUCCUGACGAGGAAAUAUACACACACCAAAAAAGAAAUCAAAACACACACAAUCCCAAAACAACCACCACACGCAGACAGCCCCCAGCUCGCCGAUGUCAUCCUCAAAGCCAACUAGAGGGAAGGAGGCAAAAAAAGAGAGGCCCUCCUCCCCGGCAUCAGGGCCGGAGUGGCGAGCUGGAGGAGAAUGCCCACUGCUGCCCCCAGCACAGAUCUCCGGCAAGCUGGGGGUGGGGUAAGGGGGUGGGAGUGGAGUGGUCCGUGGGACCUCGCAGCUCCUUGGAGUGCACGAGAAAAAAGGCUGAAACUGGAGCCAGCGGGAGAGACAGCUCCUGCCUCUCACCCUAGCCUCUUCCCCCCCAACCCCGUUUCCCUUCCCCCGAGGCUUCUUCCCCUCACCCCAGGGUCUCCCAUUCCUCGGGCGGCGGGGACUUCUCCCUGCCUUUAUUUUAGAUCUUCUCCCCAAAUUAAAGAUACAAAAAUCGAGGGGAAGGGGGGCAAACUCCUUGCUGGGGUGACAGAAGCAGCAGAGCGUGGGUGCGUGGGUGGGUAGUGGGAGAAGCAACUCGGAAAUCAUUAUCUGUUGGUUGAAACCUGCCUGGGGUAAAAUUUCAACUCGAUUUUAUAGCCUUCCAUUAUGACGCAAAGAAAAAUUUACGACCCUCGCUUGAAAAGAGGGCCGAGGCCUUUUCUCACCGGUUUAAGAAUAGGCAGCAGAUGCCGUGACAGCGACCAUUGUUCCCGGUAGACACAGGCGACCGAGCAACCUCGGCCCGCGUGCGCCAGGCGCGUCCCCCAGCCGGGCGGGUUUUUACUACUCCUGUCGCCUCUGAGCAGCCCGCGCGCACCCUCGCCCCUCGCCCCCCGCACACCCUCACACACCCUCUCUCUCUCUCUCUCUCUCUCUUUCACACACACACACACACACACUCGGCGGCUCUCAGUAAUUUUUCAUAAGUGCAAAGCUUUGCUGAACCAAAGGUCACCAUCCAAGCCACUAACAACUUCUCGCCGGCGCACGGUUCCAAAUCAGGAAGCAAAGGGAACUAUUUGUCAGUGGCCUGACAGCUAAGUUCAUUAAGGAUUUAAAUCAGAAUAAAUAAAAGUCGCGAAAAUAUUUACCUGCCGGCCGCGCUCCCGCGCCCGCCGCCUGGGGCCGAGGGUGGAGGGCUGGGGGCGCCGCACGGCCCCCCUCGGCGGGUGAUAUUCUUGGGAUCCCUGCACUUUCCAAGUCGGAGAGAGCCCUUUGCGUGGCAGAUUAAUGACGACUCCGUGUUUCUUAAGGGACGUGCUGAAUUAAUUAUUUCACCAAUCACGUGGUCGGGACUUGUAGAAAUCUAUUCUUAUCAUCUUCCUCGCACUUUGAAAAUUCUCCGGGUUAUGAAAGGCCCUCCCCCGGCUGGCGGCGAGCCCCGGCCGCCCAGCCCGGCGCGGGGGGCAGGGAGGGCUCCCCAACAUGGCGGGCGCGCGGGAAGCGCAGUCUGCCGAGGGUCCCGAUUUACUGUACUGUACUCCGGCGGGCUUGGCUGUGCACUCGCUUCCUCCUCAUCCCUGCCCGCGAUUCAAUACACACAACCGUACUGAUGUAUUGGUGGGCACAGGAGGAGCCAUUAAGCAGAAGACGGGCAGAGAACAAUCAUAAAAUGUGUCUGAAUAUUUAAACUUCUGUCUGCGCACUUAUAAAUACACAUGUCCACGCGUCUGAGGCGAGCCCUUCCAUAUAUUAAGGACACAUGUCUGAUUUUAUGCAUUCUGCUCAUUUCCUGUCGCGAGUAAGGCCCCCUCCCAUCUAUUUUGGGACUCCUGCCUUGGCCCCCUCUUCAAGGCGAAGCCAAGACGAGAAAAGCCCUCGUGAAAAAAACAGCACACGCCACUUUUUAUAGUGGGGAGUGUUUAUUGUGGUCUGGAGGGCGGAGGGGGCACUCGGGGGAGGAGGGGCAGGUGCUGGAGGCCCCGGUGGGGCUGAACAGCACAGAAGAAGUAGAAGGAGCCCAAGAUUGGAGGCCAGAGGGGUGAGAUCCGAGCAGCCACCCGCCAGCCCCAGGUUGGCCCAGAACCCAGCACCAGACACGCCCUCAGAGUUGGGGGUCCAGGAGAUCUCUCUCACCCACCAUGUCACAAAGAGAGACCGAGGGGGCCUGGGGCUGAUCCGGGCCAUGCUGAGAGCCAAACUGGAGCCUCCUUUUAGCCCGGGAAGUUCUAGAACUUGCUGCCGGGUGUAGGCCGUCCGGGACCUCUUGGGCUCCCCGCCGGUGUAGUUGGGGUUCACUGCGAGACAAGCAGACCGCACAGUCAGGGCCCUCCUACUUGCUGUCAACUGAAUAAAGUUGGCGGCCAUGUGACCAGACCAGCCAAUAGCGAGGGAGUGAGUUUAUCACCGGGUUGGUGAGCAUCUCAUAAUUUUCACAAAUUUAACUAAAUAAC
This is a long non-coding RNA of Orcinus orca (killer whale), 2962 nucleotides long. RefSeq lists it as uncharacterized. The record is from RefSeq and is a predicted model, not a curated record. The transcript has 3 exons. Lineage: Eukaryota; Metazoa; Chordata; Mammalia; Artiodactyla; Delphinidae.